RNAcentral lists this ribosomal RNA (460 nucleotides) under uncultured bacterium. Its description in RNAcentral is "partial 16S ribosomal RNA". It matches the Rfam family "Bacterial small subunit ribosomal RNA", at positions 338 to 795 of the family's 1533-position model. The record is from RNAcentral.
CCUACGGGAGGCAGCAGUGAGGCAUAUUGGUCAAUGGACGGAAGUCUGAACCAGCCAUGACGCGUGCAGGCAGACGGCUCUAUGAGUUGUAAACUGCUUUUGUACAAGGGUAAACCUGAAUAUGUGUAUUCAGCUGACAGUACUAUAAGAAUAAGGAUCGGCUAACUCCGUGCCAGCAGCCGCGGUAAUACGGAGGAUCCAAGCGUUAUCCGGAUUUAUUGGGUUUAAAGGGUGCAUAGGCGGAUUGGUAAGUUAGAGGUGAAAGGUUGGGGCUUAACUGUGGACUUGCAGUUAAUACUGUCGAUCGAGAGAGUAGAUGCGGUAGGCGGAAUGCAUGGUGUAGCGGUGAAAUGCUUAGAGAUCAUACAGAACACCGAUUGCGAAGGCAGCUCACCAGUCUGUAUCUGACGUUGAGGCACGAAAGCGUGGGGAGCAAACAGGAUUAGAUACCCCUGUAGUC